GGCGGCGUGCUUAACACAUGCAAGUCGAACGAACCUUCGGGUUAGUGGCGGACGGGUGAGUAACGCGUGAGAAUCUGCCCUCAGGAGGGGGAUAACGGCUGGAAACGGCCGCUAAUACCCCAUAUGCCGAGAGGUGAAAUGAAUUUCGCCUGAGGAUGAGCUCGCGUCUGAUUAGCUAGUUGGUGGGGUAAAAGCCUACCAAGGCUUCGAUCAGUAGCUGGUCUGAGAGGAUGAUCAGCCACACUGGGACUGAGACACGGCCCAGACUCCUACGGGAGGCAGCAGUGGGGAAUUUUCCGCAAUGGGCGAAAGCCUGACGGAGCAACGCCGCGUGAGGGAUGAAGGCCUCUGGGCUGUAAACCUCUUUUCUCAAGGAAGAAGAUCUGACGGUACUUGAGGAAUAAGCCACGGCUAAUUCCGUGCCAGCAGCC
Molecule: ribosomal RNA, 431 nt
Filed under: uncultured bacterium
Lineage: Bacteria
Description: bacterial SSU rRNA
Rfam family: Bacterial small subunit ribosomal RNA
Source: RNAcentral